Molecule: ribosomal RNA, 82 nt
Filed under: Urtica hyperborea
Lineage: Eukaryota; Viridiplantae; Streptophyta; Magnoliopsida; Rosales; Urticaceae
Description: partial 28S ribosomal RNA
Source: RNAcentral
CUCGGUGAAGAGCGUAGCUUACAACGCGACCCCAGGUCAGGCGGGGCUACCCGCUGAAUUUAAGCAUAUCAAUAAGCGGAGG